AUUGAUGCAGUCUACGCCGAGAAAACUCAAAAGUCCAAAAAAUAUCACAAAAAACACAAAUUUUAGGAGUUUUGAGUCUUUUCUCAGUACACUACAUCAAUCUGGACAAUUCCAGUGGCUAUCGAAACCUUAUAUGUUCUGGCACCAAACGAUGAGGCCACUUUUUUCAAAAAUAAUUCGAAUACAAAGUUAUCAUCAAAAAUAUACUUUGACGGUAAGUC
Molecule: long non-coding RNA, 221 nt
Organism: Bradysia coprophila
Lineage: Eukaryota; Metazoa; Arthropoda; Insecta; Diptera; Sciaridae
Source: RefSeq, a predicted model, not a curated record